GGGGGUGAAAAUGGAGGUCGAGAGGGAAAAAAGAAACCAUUGGAGCUGGCAGGGUGGUAGUCUUAAACUACCAAAAAACGCCAACAGAGUCCCAGCUUACGCUCUUUCGUAAAAAAGGGCGGCCUCUAAGAAGUUUAGCGGAGGAACUUCUUAGAGGUAAAAAUUUCUCUGCUAGGUUUUAGGUAAGGGCUCUAACCUAAAACCGAAAUCAAAGAGCCUGUACUUCCUGAAGGUUUGUUUGUUUUCCUUCAAGAAGUCAAAAUUUAAAAACAAACUGCGCCAGGAGAGCCAAUGGUUUCUUUUCCUUCGAUGAGGGUUCGAUUCCCUCCACCUCCACUU
Molecule: transfer-messenger RNA, 339 nt
Filed under: bacterium
Lineage: Bacteria
Also listed under: 1 other name
Rfam family: transfer-messenger RNA
About the family: Bacterial tmRNA, also known as 10Sa RNA or SsrA, is named for its dual tRNA and mRNA-like properties. Its role is to liberate the mRNA from a stalled ribosome. To accomplish this part of the tmRNA is used as a reading frame that ends in a translation stop signal.
Source: RNAcentral